Molecule: ribosomal RNA, 327 nt
Filed under: uncultured eukaryote
Lineage: Eukaryota
Description: partial 18S ribosomal RNA
Rfam family: Eukaryotic small subunit ribosomal RNA
Source: RNAcentral
CCCUUAGAUGUUCUGGGCCGCACGCGCGCUACACUGAUGCAUUCAACGAGUUUUUCCUGGUCCGAGAGGAAUGGGUAACCUUUUGAAAGUGCAUCGUGCUAGGGAUAGACUAUUGCAAUUAUUGGUCUUCAACGAGGAAUUCCUAGUAGACGUAGUUCAUCAAAUCGCGUUGAUUACGUCCCUGCCCUUUGUACACACCGCCCGUCGCUCCUACCGAUUGAAUGUGUUGGUGAGGAGUUCGGAUUGGCAAUGGGCGGUGGUUUUCCACUGCCUAUGGCUGAGAAGUUCUCCAAACCGCCCCAUUUAGAGGAAGGAGAAGUCGUAACA